This 491-nucleotide ribosomal RNA is filed under the name uncultured bacterium. RNAcentral describes it as "partial 16S ribosomal RNA". It matches the Rfam family "Bacterial small subunit ribosomal RNA", at positions 29 to 506 of the family's 1533-position model. The record is from RNAcentral.
AGUGAACGCUGGCGGUAGGCCUAACACAUGCAAGUCGAACGGCAGCACAGUAAGAGCUUGCUCUUACGGGUGGCGAGUGGCGGACGGGUGAGGAAUACAUCGGAAUCUACUUUUUCGUGGGGGAUAACGUAGGGAAACUUACGCUAAUACCGCAUACGACCUACGGGUGAAAGCAGGGGAUCUUCGGACCUUGCGCGAUUGAAUGAGCCGAUGUCGGAUUAGCUAGUUGGCGGGGUAAAGGCCCACCAAGGCGACGAUCCGUAGCUGGUCUGAGAGGAUGAUCAGCCCCACUGGAGCUGAGCCACGGUCCAGACUCCUACGGGAGGCAGCAGUGGGGAAUAUUGGGCAAUGGGGGCAAGCCUGAUCCAGCCAUACCGCGUGGGUGAAGAAGGCCUUCGGGUUGUAAAGCCCUUUUGUUGGGAAAGAAAAGCAGCAGGUUAAUACCCCGCUGUUCUGACGGUACCCAAAGAAUAAGCACCGGCUAACUUCGU